GCCCGCAUGGCUCAGUGGUAGAGCGUGUCACUAGUAUCCACCUUCUCGGAUAAUGACAAGGUCGUCAGUUCGAUUCUGGCUGUGGGCA
Molecule: non-coding RNA, 88 nt
Organism: Cladorrhinum sp. PSN332
Lineage: Eukaryota; Fungi; Ascomycota; Sordariomycetes; Sordariales; Podosporaceae
Source: the annotation of a GenBank genome assembly